RNAcentral lists this ribosomal RNA (440 nucleotides) under uncultured bacterium. Its description in RNAcentral is "partial 16S ribosomal RNA". It matches the Rfam family "Bacterial small subunit ribosomal RNA", at positions 339 to 795 of the family's 1533-position model. The record is from RNAcentral.
CUACGGGAUGCAGCAGUGGGGAAUUUUGCGCAAUGGGGGAAACCCUGACGCAGCAAUACCGCGUGAGUGAAGAAGGCCUUUGGGUCGUAAAGCUCCUUUCUUGGGGAAGAUAGUGACGGUACCCAAGGAAUAAGCACCGGCUAACUCCGUGCCAGCAGGCCGCGGUAAUACGGAGGGUGCAAGCGUUGUUCGGAUUUACUGGGCGUAAAGGGCACGUAGGCGGCACAGCAAGUUAAGGGUGAGAUCCCGGGGCUCAACUCCGGAACUGCUCUUAAAACUGCUGAGCUAGAGAUAGUCAGAGGCGGGUGGAAUUCCAGGUGUAGAGGUGAAAUUCGUAGAUAUCUGGAGGAACACCGGUGGCGAAGGCGGCCCGCUGGGGCUAUUCUGACGCUAAGGUGCGAAAGCGUGGGGAGCAAACGGGAUUAGAUACCCCCGUAGUC